This 253-nucleotide ribosomal RNA is filed under the name uncultured bacterium. RNAcentral's name for it is "partial 16S ribosomal RNA". It matches the Rfam family "Bacterial small subunit ribosomal RNA", at positions 524 to 776 of the family's 1533-position model. The record is from RNAcentral. RNAcentral also lists the same sequence under 1 other name.
UACAGAGGGUGCAAGCGUUAAUCGGAAUUACUGGGCGUAAAGCGCGCGUAGGCGGCUGAUUAAGUCGGAUGUGAAAGCCCCGGGCUCAACCUGGGAACUGCAUUCGAUACUGAUCGGCUAGAGUAUGAGAGAGGGAGGUAGAAUUCCACGUGUAGCGGUGAAAUGCGUAGAUAUGUGGAGGAAUACCGGUGGCGAAGGCGGCCUCCUGGCUUAAUACUGACGCUGAGGUGCGAAAGCGUGGGGAGCAAACAGG